Molecule: microRNA, 22 nt
Filed under: Haplochromis burtoni (Burton's mouthbrooder)
Lineage: Eukaryota; Metazoa; Chordata; Actinopteri; Cichliformes; Cichlidae
Also listed under: 3 other names
Description: abu-miR-153c
Gene: abu-miR-153c
Source: miRBase by way of RNAcentral
UUGCAUAGUCAUAAAAAUGAGC